Molecule: ribosomal RNA, 497 nt
Filed under: uncultured bacterium
Lineage: Bacteria
Description: partial 16S ribosomal RNA
Rfam family: Bacterial small subunit ribosomal RNA
Source: RNAcentral
GAUGAACGCUGGCGGCGUGCCUAAUACAUGCAAGUCGAGCGAACGGACGAGAAGCUUGCUUCUCUGAUGUUAGCGGCGGACGGGUGAGUAACACGUGGAUAACCUACCUAUAAGACUGGGAUAACUUCGGGAAACCGGAGCUAAUACCGGAUGAUAUUUUGAACCGCAUGGUUCAAAAGUGAAAGACGGUCUUGCUGUCACUUAUAGAUGGAUCCGCGCUGCACUAGCUAGUUGGUAAGGUAACGGCUUACCAAGGCAACGAUACAUAGCCGACCUGAGAGGGUGAUCGGCCACACUGGAACUGAGACACGGUCCAGACUCCUACGGGAGGCAGCAGUAGGGAAUCUUCCGCAAUGGGCGAAAGCCUGACGGAGCAACGCCGCGUGAGUGAUGAAGGUCUUCGGAUCGUAAAACUCUGUUAUUAGGGAAGAACAUAUGUGUAAGUAACUGUGCACAUCUUGACGGUACCUAAUCAGAAAGCCACGGCUAACUACGUG